RNAcentral lists this ribosomal RNA (497 nucleotides) under uncultured bacterium. Its description in RNAcentral is "partial 16S ribosomal RNA". It matches the Rfam family "Bacterial small subunit ribosomal RNA", at positions 28 to 507 of the family's 1533-position model. The record is from RNAcentral.
GACGAACGCUGGCGGCGUGCCUAAUACAUGCAAGUUGAGCGAUGAAGAUUGGUGCUUGCACCAAUUUGAAGAGCAGCGAACGGGUGAGUAACGCGUGGGGAAUCUGCCUUUGAGCGGGGGACAACAUUUGGAAACGAAUGCUAAUACCGCAUAACAACUUUAAACAUAAGUUUUAAGUUUGAAAGAUGCAAUUGCAUCACUCAAAGAUGAUCCCGCGUUGUAUUAGCUAGUUGGUGAGGUAAAGGCUCACCAAGGCGAUGAUACAUAGCCGACCUGAGAGGGUGAGCGGCCACAUUGGGACUGAGACACGGCCCAAACUCCUACGGGAGGCAGCAGUAGGGAAUCUUCGGCAAUGGACGAAAGUCUGACCGAGCAACGCCGCGGGAGUGAAGAAGGUUUUCGGAUCGUAAAACUCUGUUGGUAGAGAAGAACGUUGGUGAGAGUGGAAAGCUCAUCAAGUGACGGUAACUACCCAGAAAGGGACGGCUAACUACGUG